RNA transcript from Acanthopagrus latus (yellowfin seabream), 2464 nucleotides. RefSeq lists it as uncharacterized. The record is from RefSeq and is a predicted model, not a curated record. NCBI's taxonomy places the organism in Eukaryota, Metazoa, Chordata, Actinopteri, Spariformes, Sparidae. The transcript has 4 exons.
UUUGUUUGUUUUUUUUUUGACAUUACACUCCUUCCUUUAAUUAGAUACUCAUGUGGCAUCCGUGUGCUGAGGAUGAUGAGGGAGAGGACAAUGGGCAACAGUGUGACCCAGCUGUACAAAAAGCUGCAGGAACAACAUAGCGAGGCAUGGAUGGAGGAUGUCCUGCAGUACCUGACAGCUUGCGAACCAUUCACAAGGUCCACUGUUGUCCACCCCUCCGUCUUUGCUGAGUCUCCCUGCUUACCUGCCCUACCCAAGCCCAAGUGGCUGUCAGCAGUUUAUGUCAGGGAUGUUCUCAGUCAGCUGCAUGAGGUGAAGGCCAAAAUCACCUCCAUCUUUGGCUCCGUCUACCAAAAAGGUAUCACAGCCCUGUUUUAUAUACAGAAUUUUGAGUGCAUACAUAAUAGGCGUCACCACUAAGGGUCACCCCCUGUAUGGCAUCUUCAUGGCAUGCCUGUCCACAUGCAUUGUUGCUGCUCUUUGCCGUGCCAAGGAAGGUGAGCUGGCAGCAAGAAGUGUUGGCGACAUCUCGGAGGAGGUGGUGACCACUCACAUCACCCAGAGGGAGUCGGCGCUGCACUGCAGGAGGAGGACCCGAGGGGUAGAGGAGACCAACAGACUGAUCAGGUCACUGACCAGUCUGUUUGACAGCGUGAGUGGGAAGGACACUCUGGGCGUUCCUCUGCUGGACCACGAACGGAUCCAGCAGAUAUGGAAGGAGCAGCAGAAACACCUUGGCUGUAUCCAAAACCCAGAAGACUUCCAGCUCUACAUCAAGACGGGCACCUUGAAGAAAGGCAACGUGGAGUUGUGCUGCUACAGGUGUGCCCGUGGCUCUACCUCCCUGGAGACCUUUCACCUCCACCUGAACAGAUUUAUUCCAGGAACCAGUGUCAGUUAUGCACAUUUCCAGGCGUAUCUUCUGGAAGGGCUGAUGCGCUGGAAUGAUGACUGGAUGGAGGACGCCGUAAAGGGAGCACCUUCCAUCCACUCCUACGGCAGUGCUCUUAGUGAGGCGGUGGACCAGCUAAGCCAAAAAGGUGCUAGGGAGAUGCUGGGAUGAGCGCUAUCGCACCUCUGGAGCGUACAUAGGUGAAUUGCUGAGAAUGGAGUACUUGUGCUUUUCAGGAGAUAAAGGGUCGUUAGCCUAAAAAUUGUUGGAUGAUAGAAAAGUACAGCAAGGUACUGCUCGCUGCUUAUCAUGGGUAUGUAACUGCGGUGCACGACUUCACGGCGAGCCGCAGGUGACCGGCGUACACAAUAUGGCAUAAUGAUACAGCAUCUAUUUGCUGGGGUGGGUUCGUUAUCCUCCAUAUAUCAGGUUGUUAUCACUCAUUACACUGUAAAUUGUUUGCCUGCUGGCAUGCUCUUUAUACACAUUUUGUGCAGAUAGAUCUGUUACUUAACACAACAUUGAAGUCUCCAAUCACUAGGCAUUCGUUGUUACACCAUAUUGGAAUUUUUUAAAGAUUUUCUUUUCUUUCUAGAUGUUAGUUGCGCACAGUUAUGAUUCUGUAUUUUUCCCCAUUUUUUUUUCUAAAUCCACCACCAUUCUUCCUGCAGGCUCCCGAUAAACACAGUAUUUUCAAAAUGCGCCUUCCCUGCACAGGAUCGCUACCCAGCAGGCAGAUGCCAAGCCAUGCGCACAGUGCACAGAUCCCUUCCAUUGCUUCCUAACCUUAUCCAUAAUGGUGUUGUCCCAUUUUGUUUCGUGUACACAAAAGAUAUCGCAUUUAACAGUUGUCCAAAUGCAGCUCAUUUUCUAAUUUUUUCCUGUCUUCCUGGGUUUUGCCUUUUCCUUAAUUGUUGGACUUGGAGGAUGUCUAUGUCUGAGCUGGCCAUCUGAGGAAUGAGCAGUGGCGAGGAUCUGCCGGAGGGAGGGAGACCUUGGGAGCGUCAGUCAUGAGGUCGGGCGCAGCUGCCGGAGAGGGCCUUGCAUUUGUGGCAGGGAGAUCGGCGGGUUCAGAGUCUUUACCAGGCCCUGUUCUCGCCUCAGUGUCCCUGCUUUGUCCCAACAAGAAUCCACUCAGGCAGCACUCAGGCUGAAGCUCAACCCUGAUGUGCGCAUUGUGCUUUCUCCAGCCAGCUGCUCCGCGCUGGUGCCUGACGCACGGGCUUCCUCAGCCACUGCAUCGGUAUACUCCAUCUCAUUUUCCCCCCCUCUUCGCCUCUGCUCUCAUUGCUCUCGCCCCCUUCCUGGCCUGCUUUGGACCCCCAUAGACACCCUCCUCAUCUUCACUGUUGUGGCUAUCACAGUUUUCCUGAUUACUAUGGCACAUCUCACACCUCCUCGCAUAAUGCCCUUGGACUCUGAAUUUACGGCAAGUAUUGAGGGCAUUUCCUGAGGAUAUGCCCAUUCUACAUACUUUCACCUGUCAUGUAACACUCUGAAAUGUUCUUGCCCUGUGGCCAUAUUGAAUCUCCCAGAGCAUGAGAGAGACAGUACCGUUUCAUUAAAUCUAAC